AUUGAACGCUGGCGGCAGGCCUAACACAUGCAAGUCGAGCGGUAGAGAGAAGCUUGCUUCUCUUGAGAGCGGCGGACGGGUGAGUAAUGCCUAGGAAUCUGCCUGGUAGUGGGGGAUAACGUUCGGAAACGGACGCUAAUACCGCAUACGUCCUACGGGAGAAAGCAGGGGACCUUCGGGCCUUUCGCUAUCAGAUGAGCCUAGGUCGGAUUAGCUAGUUGGUUGUGUAAUGGCUCACCAAGGCGACGAUCCGUAACUGGUCUGAGAGGAUGAUCAGUCACACUGGAACUGAGACACGGUCCAGACUCCUACGGGAGGCAGCAGUGGGGAAUAUUGGACAAUGGGCGAAAGCCUGAUCCAGCCAUGCCGCGUGUGUGAAGAAGGUCUUCGGAUUGUAAAGCACUUUAAGUUGGGAGGAAGGGCAGUAAAUUAAUACUUUGCUGUUUUGACGUUACCGACAGAAUAAGCACCGGCUAACUCUGUG
Molecule: ribosomal RNA, 484 nt
Filed under: uncultured bacterium
Lineage: Bacteria
Description: partial 16S ribosomal RNA
Rfam family: Bacterial small subunit ribosomal RNA
Source: RNAcentral